UGGGGAAUUUGGACAAUGGGCGAAAGCCUGAUCCAGCAAUGCCGCGUGUGUGAAGAAGGCCUUCGGGUUGUAAAGCACUUUUGUCCGGAAAGAAAUCCUUGGCUCUAAUACAGUCGGGGGAUGACGGUACCGGAAGAAUAAGCACCGGCUAACUACGUGCCAGCAGCCGCGGUAAUACGUAGGGUGCAAGCGUUAAUCGGAAUUACUGGGCGUAAAGCGUGCGCAGGCGGUUUGCUAAGACCGAUGUGAAAUCCCCGGGCUCAACCUGGGAACUGCAUUGGUGACUGGCAGGCUAGAGUAUGGCAGAGGGGGGUAGAAUUCCACGUGUAGCAGUGAAAUGCGUAGAGAUGUGGAGGAAUACCGAUGGCGAAGGCAGCCCCCUGGGCCAAUACUGACGCUCAUGCACGAAAGCGUGGGGAGCAAAACAGGGUUAGAUACCCUGGUAGUCCACGCCCUAAAACGAUGUCAACUAGUUGUUGGGGAUUCAUUUCCUUAGUAACGUAGCUAACGCGUGAAGUUGACCGCCUGGGGAGUACGGUCGCAAGAUUAAAACUCAAAUGAAUUGACGGGGUCAUAGCUGUUUCCU
Molecule: ribosomal RNA, 586 nt
Filed under: uncultured bacterium
Lineage: Bacteria
Description: partial 16S ribosomal RNA
Rfam family: Bacterial small subunit ribosomal RNA
Source: RNAcentral